Long non-coding RNA from Vidua chalybeata, 237 nucleotides. RefSeq lists it as uncharacterized. The record is from RefSeq and is a predicted model, not a curated record. NCBI's taxonomy places the organism in Eukaryota, Metazoa, Chordata, Aves, Passeriformes, Viduidae. The transcript is spliced from 2 exons.
GUAGUUCGUCUGCUGGCCGGUGAUAAUCAGUUGUGAGAAGCUGUCGACUCCGUCGAAGACAGAGAGACCUGGACAAAUUGAGGCAAUUAACUAACUCCUGCUAUAAAGCCCAUGAUUACCAAAGUGAAUGCUGUUCCACCAAGGUCAGAUAAAAUUAGCUUUAGUCUGCUGGUUUUGAAUUCAGCGGAUAGUUGUAGUGAAUGAUGAAAAACCCUUAAUAAAAUAGAAUAUACUUUG